Long non-coding RNA from Heterocephalus glaber (naked mole-rat), 7484 nucleotides. The record is from Ensembl. NCBI's taxonomy places the organism in Eukaryota, Metazoa, Chordata, Mammalia, Rodentia, Bathyergidae.
CCCUUGUUGAGCACAGAUGCGAGUAAUGAGGCCUUGUUCUUUCCUUCUCCCUGGACAGCACUAAGGCACGGAGCUUGUGCCAGGGUGGAGCAGUCCCAGCACGACCCGUUAAUUAAAAUAGAGGACAGGCCUCGGAGCAGGGGCAGGUGCAGGUGGCCUGGCUCAGGGAGAGGAGAGGCGUCCCUGUCGCCGUGACCGAGAGGCCUGCCUGCUGGGGCUCCUAGGCCCCUGGGCUGGUUUCCUGGCAGCCUGGCAGUCAGGGACAGCUGACAACCGCCCGCCUGCCAGGGUGGAGCAGGGGCCUGGGGGCUCGGGUGAGUGGCUCACUCUCUCACUGGUUUCUGCCUGCCCUGCACUCACUGCGUAGCCUCGGCUGGGCUGGACUUGGGACCCUCUCGUUCCCCUGAGUGGUGGGGUCGCCGUGUAGGCCACCGUGCCUGGCUCGUCACGUUCUUAAGCCUGCACAGUGACGGUUGUGGUCUCUUCUGGUUUUGAGCAGAAUAUACUGUGACGUCGUCGUCAGGAGGAAGUUGGGGCCCGAGUGCACUCAGGGGGGUCACCUGGACCCAGCCAGGCCCCUCUCCACCCCUGCCAAGCUCAGGCUCCACGAUGGGCUGGACUGCCCGGCCCAGGCAAGGGGACCCAGGGGCCACAGCUUUGAAGCUGGAGCCGAAGCCAGUGCUUCCUUCUUCACGUUGUUUAUGCUGGGUGUUUGGUGACCGAAGACACCCAAACCGCUGGCACAUCCGUAUUUCAGGCCCCAGUGACAGGGAGAGGGACUGGAAGAGGUGUCUGCCCUGGCCACAGCAAGACAGGGGAGGGCACUGUGAGCCUGAACGAGACCCGGGGUCCCGGAGACUGAGUCCUCGCUGCAGGAGGGUCCGGUGACCCUGAGGCUCUGGGGAGACUGGCCUGGAAGGAGCUGAGGGUGGCAGGGGGCUAGGGUGCGGUUGGAGGAGGAAGAAGCCCAGAGAGGGCGACUGUGGCGGGAGAGGAACAGGAGGUGCUGGUGACAGGACUCUGUGAGGGGCCAGGGGAGCGUGCUCAGGAAAGAUCCACCCAGCAACGACGUGACAGGGCUCAGAGUGGGCUGGCGAGCUGGGGAGGAAAGAUUGGAGGGAUGAGGCAGAGCGGUCCAGGAAGAGGGCACCGCAGCGGGUAGGCCGCCGUCCCAGGGCUCCGGGGGUGACAGGGGCUACCGGGCUACCGGCGACGUUGACACGGACAGUCCCAGAAAAGCAGCCUGUGCAAAGAAGCGAUGCAGGAGAGAAGUGAAGGUAGUCCGGCUGUUCUUUCAAAAAAUGCACACGUGGGGCCGGGAUUUAGCUCAGUGGUUCCACCGCCUGCCUGGAAAGCGCAAGGACCAGAGUUCGAUCCCUGGUACCAAAAAAAAAAAAAAGAUGUACACGUGCCAGGCCCAGUGACACACAUCCGUAAUCCCACCUACUGGAGAGGCUGAGGCAGGAGGAUGACAAGUUUGACACCAGCCUUGGCAACCCUGUCUCAAAAUAAAAAUUAACAGAGUAGCUCGGUGUAGACACAGCCCGCGCCCAAGGCUGCCAAGAAAAAGAAAAAGGCACAAGCAGAAAGAAAGAGGGCUCAGUGAGGGGAAAGCUGGAGGCCCAGGAAGACGUCGUCCGGGUGUCGGUGUGUCGGGAUGAGAGCCCUUGGCGCGAGUGGGUGAAGGGUCCAGUGGAGAGAGACCUGUGGGAGUUAAAGGUGCGAGGACGAGAAGUAAGCAACGGAGACGGGGUGGGAGGGGAGCAGGCCAAUAACACUGGAAAGCGGCAUGGAUUCUUCUCCACAGGAGGAAGGAGGGAAAUGGACAGGAGGGCGGAGGGAGCUGGAGGGGUUAGUGGCUCCUGCUCCGCUGACUCCGGAGAAACAAAGCAGGGGGCCCGGGAUUGGGGGGGGGGGGGAUACGGUGUGUGUGCAUGUGUGUGUUCAGAUGGAGAGAGACAGGCACGGAGGAGUUGGCGGGCAGAGACUGACUAUGGGGAACGCACUCGCUUGAUCACGGAGGCCACGGGGCUCCUGACCUUGCAGCGCCAUCUGGACACGGGAGACCCAGGGAAGCUGGUGCGGAAAUCCCAGUCUGUGCCCAAAGGCCUGAGAGCAGGAGGCAGUGCUGCCAAUUCCAUUCCAUCCGCGGGCAGGAGGCGCCACCCUGGCUGGCCCGGCAGGCUGACUGGCCAAGGGGCGAAUUCCCGCCCCCGCCCUGUGCUCUUCCCCUCUCCUGGACUGGGUGGUGCCAGCCACAGGCAGGGCAUCUGCUUUCUGGGCCCUCGCUCUGUCUCACCGGGGACACCCACAGGCACACCAGGAAUGAGGUCUCAUCCGGCAACACAGAUUUAACACACAUGCACAAAACGUGGGAUCGCCACUUGGCUAAAAGAUCUUGAAAGAAUAUCUCAGGGCCGUGCCUUACUGUGUGAGCUCCCGAAAUCAAGGUGCCAGGGCGCUGCUAUGGGAGGUGCUGUGGACCCAAAGGAGGGGCCUGGCAGGAGGCCUGCAGCUCUUCGAGGACGUGGCUUGGUGGAGGCCCAGCCUUUUGGCUAAGAGCGGAGAACGUCGUGCCUGGCAAUCCUAAGCACUGCUGGAUGGAUGGAUGAACAAACGGGAAGAUGGACUGGGCCAGAUUCUCAGAGUGUUUAAGCAGGACACGAGCAUGCCUGUGCUUCUGCCCCGCAGACAUUUACCCGGGACUUCUGCCUAACGGUUGACUGCCAUGCCUACGUGUGGAAUUCGGUCCGUUGAUGUCUCCUAGAAACACUGCUGCUAGUGCUGCUGCUGCUGCUGCUGCUGCUGCUGCUGUGUGCUCUUCCUUCGGCUUCCAUGAGCUCCUUGACUGGCAGUGUCCCCAGGGCUCCAUUUGUCGCUUGGCUGCAGGCACUGGGUGCUGGUCUACAAGCUCCCUCUGGGCCCGGCGCCCUUUCUCACUGUGCAGCAGCAGAGGGCAUUGUCUAGGUACAGCUGCCAACGGUGGACUGCAGAAAGCGUAAUGCUGAGUCACUGCCCAUCAGCGAGCACUGUACGGGUUAAGGAGUAAUCUGGGAUGGGAGCGGCUGCCCAGAGGUGAACUGCGUCACUGCUUGUCAUUUCCACCCUACAAGAAGGAGUGUAUAGGGCUGGUCAGAAAAUAGGUGUGGGGCGGGGGAUUCAGCUCAGUGGUUCUGGUGCCUGCCUCCCAAGUGCAAGGCCCAGAGUUGAUCCCCAGUACCAAAAAGCAAAGCAAAACAAAUAUGGUGUGUUUCAAAUAAAAGAAAAAUUAUUGCAAUAAAAGACACAUUGGCAUCAAUCCCCCUCAGAAUCCUCCCCCUCACUUUGAACACACUUAUCCCAUUUUCUUGCCGCUUUCUGAAGCAGUUCUGGAGUCCUCUUUCAUGAGUGUCUUUACAAGGUGUAAUAAAAAAUAUGAGGAAUGCUGAUGCUGAGUGUCAUCCAACGGAAAACAUAAAAACACCACAGUGUGUUCUCAUCUACUUCAUUCACCACACCCAGCACUGUGGGACUUUUGGUUCUUCUCAAAAGUCAAAAUGACCAUGAAAGACGAACAGUUUGAUUCAAUUCAGGGCACUGAGGCAGACACAACAGUACAACUAGAAAAAUUCAUGAAAGAGGACUCGAAAACUGCUUCAGAAAGGAACAAGAAAAUGGAAUAAAUGUGUUUAAAGUAAGGGCAAGUGUGUUGAGAGGGAUUCAUAGCAAUGUAUCUUUUAUUAUAGUAAAUUUUUUAAAACUUAAAAAUUCAUAUUUUAAUGAUACUUCAAACAUCAUAUUAACUUUAUUCACUUCAUAGAUGUAUUACAUUGGGGUGCAGCUCUGUGGCAGAUCGCUUGCCGAACACAUACAAGAUAGCUCGAGAGUCAAUCCCCAACCCUGAAAAAAAUUACCUCAAAUGCUAAUGACAUUCGAUGGACUCCAAAACAUUUUUAAAUGAAAAAAUUGGAAGAGAUAAUUAAUAAGGAUUCGUCUAGCUUUUUGAUGAGCGUAUGAAGUCUUUGCAAGCUCUUACUGUUUCUCCAGGUGAGUCCUAUCUCCAUACAUGGUCACAAUUUCCUUCCCUGUCACCAGAAGGAACCGCACUCACCUGUGUGCCGUCAGAACAGCUCAAACAUCCAUCACACAGGCUGCCCGAGCCUGAGGGGAGCUGCUGCUUCAAGACGUUUGCUGUUCCUCAGCCUUGCUCAUGAUUUGCUAGGAGGUCGUCAUGCUGUCCUUCUGUGCUUCCCUCCGGUCCCAGACAGACCUGUUACUGGUCCACACUGCUCUGCACCCAUGGUCCCGUCUGCCCUGCUCUUCCCCUCCUUCGCCACCAUGCCCUUUUCUCGUCUCUCCUUGUCAAGCUCUUGCUCAGAUUCCCAAUUUCUAGGCUAGCGCUGACAUUCUCUGUCACCUUGUUUUUUGCUAUUCUUAUAUAGGAUUCUGUUUCUUUAUUAGUGCAUGUUGAUUACACCAAAUAAUGGGUGUCACCGCGGCAUAUUCAUGUGCACAUCCAUCCCCAUCAUACUUCAGUCAGGUCUGUCCCAGAGCCUUCUUCACCUCCCUCCAUCCCUUCCUCUCCUCUGUCUUCUUUCCAGAAGUCUGUGUUCUUUCACAUCAUCUCUUUUUUCUAUGCAUGAAAGAAAACAUGUGAUACUUGUCUUUCUGUAUCUAACUUACUUUACUCAACAUGUUGAUCUUCAGUUCUAUUUUUUUACAAAUGACAUAAUUUCAUUCCUCACUGUGACUGACUAAAGCUCCAUCGUGUAUGGAUUUCACUGUUUCUCCAGUCAUCUGUUGAAGGGGCAUCCAGGCUGGUUCCGUAACUUGGCGAUGUGACUUGUGCUGCAGCAAACAUGGAUGUGCAGGUAUCUCCACAGUAUGCUGACUUUAAUUCCUUUGAGUACAUACCUAGGAGGGAGGUAGUUGGAUCAUACUGUAGUUUUUUUUUUUUUUUUGGUUUUUAAUAUGAGUUCUAUAAAUACCUGAGUCCUGUGAUUUCCUUAUUUGCUUUGCAGUUCAUUUGCUUGGGAGGUGUGGGAAGAUUGUCUUAAAAAGGUGAAUUCCUCAUAUGACAGAGUCUGGCCACAGUGGGAUCUGAUCACACAAACGACCCAGGUGUUCUGAUGAAAGUUGCUGUCCACGCUUCAGGCAGUGUUUAGGAUUUAAAUGAAUGAGCUUCAGGGGAUCUGUGAACCUUCAGAAUUUUUUUACAUUCUAUAUCUUUAUGUCCAUUUGUAUUUUUCUAAGGGAAGGUUUCCUAACUUUCAACAGACUAUUAAAGGAGCCUGUGUCAGAAUUUUUUAAAAAGCAAUCUAUUAAACCAUUAAAUGAGGGUUUCAGAUAAAAGAAAACUUCUUUGUUAUUUGAGGACUAAAACAUAAAUUCAAUAUUGAGGUCUGAUACAUACAUUUUACUGUACAGGGUACUUUGAGACAUCACACACACAGAUCAUGCCUUUCAGAUUGGCUAAGGACACAUGCACACCUGGGCUGCUUUGUUUCAAGGUCUAGAGCCCCAAGGCCUAGCAUCAAAGAGGCGGCACGUGUCUAUCAUGUUGGAGGAAAGAGUGUGCCGAAUUCCAUCCGCGAUUUUCAUGAAAUCAGUAGCUAGAGGAUUAAGAGUCUUGUCUGCAGAUUCUGCCUGGAAAAGAGACAGCCCUGAAGUGUAAACAGUUUUGUGCACCAAGAUCAGUGUAGAGCCUGGUCUCUCAUUCAUCAUGUUCUGGCUCUGUAAUUCUAGACACGUCAUUAGUAUUCCUGGGCUUCUGACGAUGGACUUCUUAUAGCAAUAGUGAUCUUUCUGCCAGGACAUAGGAUCCUAUGAUAUCAUGAGGCUCCCCAGAAUAUAGGCAUGGAUGCAGGUAUACAUACACACAAACCUAUAUACGUAUAUAUGCACACAUACAUAAGAUAUGUAUAAGUGGUGAAGCCCAACCGACCUCCAUUGCUGCUUGACAAAGUUCCAGCUGGGGGAAAGAAAGCAGGGAACACAUCGUACCCUCAUGUUUUAUUUUUUUCUUGCCAUAAUGUUUAUAAUUGUUACUCUGGUCACGGGAGUCAUUGUGUUUGUGACUAACAACAAACUCUCCAUGAGGCAAAUUGGCAAUGAUAUAUUGAAAUCUGAUCUGGCUCAAAAGUCUCAAAUUCCAGUUUCUCUUAGUUCUAUUGCCACAUCCACUCCUAAAGAAACCUCUCCUAAAACCCCCUCUGUUUUCCCACUAUUAUAACUCCCUCUCUUACUGCUGACAUUCUUUUUACUAAAGGGGUCUUAUAAAGAGAUUGAAAGGACAGACUUUAGAUGUAAGAAAUAGUGGGAAAUGGGAAAUAAAAAGAACGUUAAAACAGGUAAAUGCAUUAAGGAGGCAAGUUACUCAAUAUUUCUCAAAGUGCUGUAAAUAUCUCCUGCUCAUGGACUAUGAACCCAAAUGACAUUUAGUUAAGAUGAAUAGAGGUAAAAAGAACAUAGAGAGCUAAUAGCAAACUGUAUUAACCAUUGUGCAGUUUCUCAAGGGCUAGCUGGUGACCACAAGUUUGACAUUUAAUUUGAUUGUUACUUUCUGUUCUGCUUAGGUAUGGGACAAUGAGGGAACAAUUGCAGUUUUUAAGAAAUGUAUUCAUGAUGUUCAAUGAAAUGAAUCAGCUUAGAAAAAAUAUACUGUUUAACAAAAAUAACCUGUACCUCAUCAGAUAUUGCUAAGGCAACAUGUUCCGCCCAAUGCCUCUUCGCUAUUGCUUAAAGAUAUAAAAAUAAAUCAGACCCUGAGACUUCUCAGAGGGAACCUGAACAUUGCUUGUAAAGGUUCUUUUCUCAUCGCUGGCCCAGGACAUCUCCCCUUCCUACCCUACAUCGACUGCAGCUGGUCUGCGACAUAUAAGAUUACUUACACUCAGGCACUGGAAAUGUAGACGAGUAUAAAGAAAUAAAAAUUCUCUAUAGUACAUCCCAGAGGUAACAGCUCUCAUCCAGUGUCUUUUUGUUCCUAAGUAAAAAUUCAGGCAGCCCUCAUUUUAGCUAGGCAUUGUCUAGAGACAUUCAACAUGUGUCUGAUAAAAUGAUACAGAAGCUAGGUACAGCACGUGCCUGUAGUCCCAGAUACUUGGGAGGUUGAGGCAGGAGGGCGGCUUGAGCCUAGGAGCUGCAGGCCAACCUGGCCAACAUAGUGAGACACUGUUAAAAAUAAACCGUAAAAUAACAUGAUGCUUGUACCAUGUUUCAUUUUUAUUUAAAAAACAAAUGUUAGCUCAAGGGAUAGGAUGAAGUUGAGAAUUAUAUAAGUAAUAAAUGCAUAAGCACAGUGCUUAUAUUUAUAUAAACAAAACAUCAAAUGCACUCUGUACAGCAGCUAUACACUUGGGCAAUGUAUGAUCAUUUUUUAAUAAUAGGCAUCUUUUAUCACAAAACACAAGAAUACCAUGGGGCUGCCACCUUCUAGAUGCUAUUUCAGGAUGGAAACAAAACUGCAAAAAUCAGAGUCUACUUACUGAUUUGCAACACAUCCC